Molecule: ribosomal RNA, 599 nt
Filed under: Salegentibacter mishustinae
Lineage: Bacteria; Pseudomonadati; Bacteroidota; Flavobacteriia; Flavobacteriales; Flavobacteriaceae
Description: bacterial SSU rRNA
Rfam family: Bacterial small subunit ribosomal RNA
Source: RNAcentral
CUGGUGGCGACCGGCGCACGGGUGCGUAACGCGUAUACAACCUACCUUUUGGAGGGGAAUAGCCCAGAGAAAUUUGGAUUAAUACCCCAUAGUAUAUAGGAAUCUCCUGAUUUUUAUAUUAAACAUUUAUGGCCAUUAGAUGGGUAUGCGUCCUAUUAGCUAGUUGGUGUGGUAACGGCACACCAAGGCUACGAUAGGUAGGGGUCCUGAGAGGGAGAUCCCCCACACUGGUACUGAGACACGGACCAGACUCCUACGGGAGGCAGCAGUGAGGAAUAUUGGACAAUGGGCGAGAGCCUGAUCCAGCCAUGCCGCGUGCAGGAAGACUGCCCUAUGGGUUGUAAACUGCUUUUACAGAGGAAGAACCACCCCCACGUGUGGGGGUUUGACGGUACUCUGCGAAUAAGGAUCGGCUAACUCCGUGCCAGCAGCCGCGGUAAUACGGAGGAUCCAAGCGUUAUCCGGAAUCAUUGGGUUUAAAGGGUCCGUAGGCGGAUAAAUAAGUCAGUGGUGAAAGUCUGCAGCUCAACUGUAGAAUUGCCAUUGAUACUGUUUAUCUUGAGUUAUUAUGAAGUGGUUAGAAUGAGUAGUGUAGCGGU